UCUGUUGGGACACUGUGGUUGGGGUUUGUGGUGCUCCUGCUGCCAAACACCUGCAUUUAUUCAGACACAAGUGCAAAAGAAUCAUAGUUUGUGAUUUGUGUUUGUUGUCAGACACCAACCCCAACAAGGCAUACAGUGAAAACUGCCUGGAAACUCUGCUCCGACACUGAGUUUUGGUUUCUUCACACCCUGUACACCACGGGCUGAAGUUAUUGGCUGGGGAACUAGCAGGAGACGUUUCAGAGUGCAGAGCAGCCAGGUGUAACCACCAGCUCACUUAUGAUGCCAGAUCCGCAUACAGGAACUCAGCAGUGCCUUCUCAAGGUCCUACACCAAAACAUUGUCUUAGUUGUGGCAAUGGAGCUCCUCAGGCAGUUCUGAGGAUUGCCUGAGCUUGUCUGACAAUCCUGAGCUUGUUUUUCCUGCAGAGCUGCUGGGACUGCAGUUGUGCUGCAGCUCACCCUGACACCACACGUGGGACACACAGAGCCAGGGGGAUGCAGCUGAGGCAAGAACAGCUCUUUGAACAGCCCUGCUGCCCCUGGGCAGGGGCUGUGGCACGGUGGCACACGGGUGUGUGGUACCUGCCAGGUGUGCCACAGCCGCAGGGGGACUCGCAGCAAGAAGCCACAGCACAUAAACAGAUACAACUGAGAGCUGGCAAGAGCUACUCCACUCAAUGGCCCUGUUCCUACAGCCUGUGAAACCAGAAAGGAACUCCAACAAGGAAUGCAGCUGUGUUAGAUUAGCCCUGAAAGGAUUCUCUUACAAAGGCACUGGCAGAGCCAUUCCAUCGCUGCCAUGAACCAAAUCUGUAUGAGCAAGCCCAGAGCUCUUAAUCUGGAUUUAUGACUCUGCUACCAACUCCAUAAACCAUCUACAACAUCUUGAGUGGCAGGACUAAAGUCAGCUGUGUGGGAAAGAAUGUGAGUGUGUCAACUUCAAUGAAAGCACGUCCACCUUGCACUGAUCCUGUAUCUGACUCCAGAGAACUAACUGGAGCUUGACUCGGGACACACACAGCAGAUGGUACAGUUCCAGCUGCAUUUUGGAAAACUGGAUGAUUCAGCUAUUUCUCUUCUGAUUUUUUUCAUCUCUUCAGAGUUUUCUUGGUUCUCCUCAGGAGCUGAGUCUCAACAUCCUUCAGAACCUGCAGGCUGAUCCCACCUUCACUUUACACCAGCAUUUUAUUUAGCUGGCACAGUUCACUGCCCAGGAACUCCCAGAGCAGGUAACUCCCUUAAGAAUCCUGUCUCCUGCCUGAAAGAUCAGGGUGCCCGACAGCUUUUAUUCUCUCUGUGUUAUCAAACACAGCCCUGCUCCUUUCCAGAGGGCUCUGGGCUCCGUGGAUGUGCCAGCACUGGUUAUCACGAUUGGAAUUGCUCUCUGUGCGCGUUGCACUGCACCAGGAUUUUGCUUAACCUUUGUAUAACAUAGUCAGUGUUUCUUUCUUUCCCCCACUGUGCCCUAAAAUAACACUUUUUAUGCCCAAUCCCUGUCAUUCUGGGGAAAAGUGUGUAUGGAAAAUUAUUAUGUUGGGAACAUGUAUUUAAACAGCUGCCAAAAGUACACAAUUUUAAAAUAGUAUGAGUAAAGCAGAGCACUGUGGGGUCUGGCCAGAUGAAACCUUCACUCCAAUAAAGCUUAUUUCAUAUACACAAUAAUUUCCCCAAAUAAAUAAUGCCAUAAUGCUAA
This is a long non-coding RNA of Cyanistes caeruleus (blue tit), 1695 nucleotides long. RefSeq lists it as uncharacterized. Lineage: Eukaryota; Metazoa; Chordata; Aves; Passeriformes; Paridae. The record is from RefSeq and is a predicted model, not a curated record.